ACGCACGCUGGCGGCGUGCUUAACACAUGCAAGUCGCACGGAAAGGCCCUGCUUUUGUGGGGUGCUCGAGUGGCGAACGGGUGAGUAACACGUGAGUAACCUGCCCUUGACUUUGGGAUAACUUCAGGAAACUGGGGCUAAUACCGGAUAGGAGCUCCUGCUGCAUGGUGGGGGUUGGAAAGUUUCGGCGGUUGGGGAUGGACUCGCGGCUUAUCAGCUUGUUGGUGGGGUAGUGGCUUACCAAGGCUUUGACGGGUAGCCGGCCUGAGAGGGUGACCGGCCACAUUGGGACUGAGAUACGGCCCAGACUCCUACGGGAGGCAGCAGUGGGGAAUAUUGCACAAUGGGCGGAAGCCUGAUGCAGCAACGCCGCGUGCGGGAUGACGGCCUUCGGGUUGUAAACCGCUUUCGCCUGUGAUGAAGCGUGAGUGACGGUAAUGGGUAAAGAAGCACCGGCUAACUACGUG
RNAcentral lists this ribosomal RNA (467 nucleotides) under uncultured bacterium. RNAcentral describes it as "partial 16S ribosomal RNA". It matches the Rfam family "Bacterial small subunit ribosomal RNA", at positions 29 to 507 of the family's 1533-position model. The record is from RNAcentral.